This 107-nucleotide small nuclear RNA is filed under the name Vulpes vulpes (red fox). The record is from RNAcentral. Lineage: Eukaryota; Metazoa; Chordata; Mammalia; Carnivora; Canidae.
AUGUUCGUUUUGGCAGCACAUGUACUAAAAUUGGAAUGAUACGGAGAAGAUUAGCAUGGCCCCUGCACAAAGAUGAGUUGCAAAUUCAUGAAGCAUUCCAUAUUUUC